UGAUAUCCCGCGUUAGCUAUUGCAGCGGCAUCCUUUUUUAAGGGGCCAUGGAACCCUUAAAAAAGAUACAGCGGAAAGAGCGACCCGAU
This 89-nucleotide small RNA is filed under the name Arenibacter nanhaiticus. RNAcentral describes it as "Arenibacter sp. NH36A Flavo-1 RNA". It matches the Rfam family "Flavo-1 RNA". Lineage: Bacteria; Pseudomonadati; Bacteroidota; Flavobacteriia; Flavobacteriales; Flavobacteriaceae. The record is from Rfam by way of RNAcentral.